This 460-nucleotide ribosomal RNA is filed under the name uncultured bacterium. RNAcentral describes it as "partial 16S ribosomal RNA". It matches the Rfam family "Bacterial small subunit ribosomal RNA", at positions 338 to 795 of the family's 1533-position model. The record is from RNAcentral.
CCUACGGGAGGCUGCAGUGAGGAAUAUUGGUCAAUGGACGAGAGUCUGAACCAGCCAAGUAGCGUGAAGGAUGACUGCCCUAUGGGUUGUAAACUUCUUUUAUAUGGGAAUAAAAUGUUCCACGUUUGGGAUUUUGUAUGUACCAUAUGAAUAAGGAUCGGCUAACUCCGUGCCAGCAGCCGCGGUAAUACGGAGGAUCCGAGCGUUAUCCGGAUUUAUUGGGUUUAAAGGGAGCGUAGGUGGAUUGUUAAGUCAGUUGUGAAAGUUUGCGGCUCAACCGUAAAAUUGCAGUUGAAACUGGCAGUCUUGAGUACAGUAGAGGUGGGCGGAAUUCGUGGUGUAGCGGUGAAAUGCUUAGAUAUCACGAAGAACUCCGAUUGCGAAGGCAGUUCACUGGACUGCAACUGACACUGAGGCUCGAAAGUGUGGGUAUCAAACAGGAUUAGAUACCCUAGUAGUC